RNAcentral lists this ribosomal RNA (441 nucleotides) under uncultured bacterium. Its description in RNAcentral is "partial 16S ribosomal RNA". It matches the Rfam family "Bacterial small subunit ribosomal RNA", at positions 338 to 795 of the family's 1533-position model. The record is from RNAcentral.
CCUACGGGUGGCAGCAGUGGGGGAUAUUGCACAAUGGGGGGAACCCUGAUGCAGCGACGCCGCGUGGGUGAAGGAGCGUUUCGGCGCGUAAAGCCCUAUCGGCAGGGAAGAAGGAGGACGGUACCUGAGUAAGAAGCCCCGGCUAACUACGUGCCAGCAGCCGCGGUAAUACGUAGGGGGCAAGCGUUAUCCGGAUUUACUGGGUGGAAAGGGAGCGUAGACGGCAGUGCAAGUCUGGAGUGAAAGGCGGGGGCUCAACCCCCGGACUGCUCUGGAAACUGUACGGCUGGAGUGCAGGAGAGGUAAGUGGAAUUCCUAGUGUAGCGGUGAAAUGCGUAGAUAUUAGGAGGAACACCAGUGGCGAAGGCGGCUUACUGGACUGUAACUGACGUUGAGGCUCGAAAGCGUGGGGAGCAAACAGGAUUAGAUACCCGAGUAGUC